UGAAUACGAGACGCUAAGGCGUCGAAGUAGUGUAUGUCAGACUUCCAAGAAAAGCUCGCACUGUCAUAGGUGAAAAAUGCCUGUACCAUAACCGACACAGGUGGGUAGGUAGAGUAUACUAAGGGGCGCGAGAUAACUCUCUCUAAGGAACUCGGCAAAAUGACUCCGUAACUUCGGGAGAAGGAGUGCCUUAUUUAUAAGGUUGCAAUAACAAGAUCCAAGCAACUGUUUACCAAAAACACAGGUCUCCGCUAAGUCGUAAGACGAUGUAUGGGGGCUGACGCCUGCCCAGUGCCAGAAGGUUAAAGAAGUUGGUUAGCAUUAGCGAAGCUGAUAACUGAAGCCCUGGUGAACGGCGGCCGUAACUAUAACGGUCCUAAGGUAGCGAAAUUCCUUGUCGGGUAAGUUCCGACCCGCACGAAAGGCGUAAUGAUUUGGAUACUGUCUCGGAGAGAGGCUCGGUGAAAUAGACUUGUCUGUGAAGAUGCGGACUACCUGCACCUGGACAGAAAGACCCUAUGAAGCUUUACUGUAACUUGAAAUUGAAAUUGGACUUUAGUCGCGCAGCAUAGGUGGGAGGCGUUGAGAAUAUUCUUGCGGGAAUAUAGGAGCCAUCAGUGAGAUACCACUCUUCUAAUGUUAGAUUUCUAACCUUGCACCAUUAUCUGGUCAAGGAACAGUUUCAGGCGGGCAGUUUGACUGGGGCGGUCGCCUCCCAAAUGGUAACGGAGGCGUACAAAGGUUUCCUCUGAACGGAUAGAAAUCGUAUCUAGAGUAUAAAGGCAUAAGGAAGCUUGACUGUGAGACCUACAAGUCGAGCAGGGACGAAAGUCGGUCUUAGUGAUCUGACGGUACUGAGUGGCAAGGCCGUCACUCAACGGAUAAAAGUUACUCUAAGGAUAACAGGCUGAUCUCCCCCAAGAGUUCACAUCGACGGGGAGGUUUGGCACCUCGAUGUCGGCUCAUCGCAUCCUGGGGCGGUAGUACGUCCCAAGGGUUGGGCUGUUCGCCCAUGAAAGCGGUACGCGAGCUGGGUUCAGAACGUCGUGAGACAGUUCGGUCCAUAUCCGGUGUAGGCGUUAGAAUAUUGAGAGGAGCCUUCUUUAGUACGAGAGGACCGAGAAGGACAUACCUCUGGUGUACCAGUUAUCGUGCCAACGGUAAACGCUGGGUAGCUAUGUAUGGAGUGGAUAACCGCUGAAAGCAUCUAAGUGGGAAGCCCACCUCAAGAUGAGUAUUCUCAUCACGUAAGUGAGUAAGGUCACGGUAAGACUAACCGUUUGAUAGGCAUUAAGUGUAAGCGCAGUAAUGCGUGUGCUGAGAUGUGCUAACAGACCGAGGACUUGU
RNAcentral lists this ribosomal RNA (1347 nucleotides) under metagenome. RNAcentral describes it as "bacterial LSU rRNA". It matches the Rfam family "Bacterial large subunit ribosomal RNA", at positions 1564 to 2925 of the family's 2925-position model. The record is from RNAcentral.